Non-coding RNA from Elaeis guineensis (African oil palm), 730 nucleotides. Lineage: Eukaryota; Viridiplantae; Streptophyta; Magnoliopsida; Arecales; Arecaceae. The record is from RefSeq and is a predicted model, not a curated record.
GCGACGACAGGAGAGGCGGGAGUCACGGGACCCACCGACCUGGGUGGGGUGAAUCUUCGCAGGUGCACCUUAAGCACCCAAGCUCCGAGCGCUCUCUCCCCCACUUCCUCAUCAAAUCUGAAAGACGGGCUCUCUCUCUCGCUCUAAGCCAUCGUCUCCUUUUCUCCCCUUGGUGGGACGUCUCCAGUCACCCCUUUCUCGCUGCAAGGCGCUCUUCAAUGGAGGAUGAAAUCCAGACGAGGAAGAGCGCCGACGAUCGCGUUCGGUUCUUGGUCUCUCCUUUCACCUCCAGAAAGUGCUUUAGGUAUCUUCUUAUAAUCCGCGCAUUUGGCUUCUUCUUGGAUGUGGUCCUACGUUCGUGGAGAGGAAACGGAAUGUGGCUGUUUUCAAUUACCCCUGCUUUACGAUAAGUUCUUGAAUUGAAUUUCUUUUCUUUUUAUUUAUUUUUCCCUUUACCAGGUUUACUUUUCAGAUUGCCUCUGUUCGAUUUCUAGGUUCUCCCUUGGUUUCUUGUAAUCUUUUGGUGGUUUCUUGGUGUUUCUUAGUGGGUUGCCUCUGUUAGAUUUCUAGGGUUGGAGUUUCUUCGUGUUUCUUUCCAGAUUCCGUUCUCCAACGGAGAUGGUGGGUGGCUGGGUAGGAUGGGUAGGUGUUCGUCGGUAGCAAACUUUUCAUUUCAUGUUAUUCUGGGUUGAUAACUUUACUCUUACUGUUUUCAUCAAAAAAAAAAAAA